This 565-nucleotide ribosomal RNA is filed under the name Streptomyces sp. 410H08. RNAcentral describes it as "bacterial SSU rRNA". It matches the Rfam family "Bacterial small subunit ribosomal RNA", at positions 93 to 671 of the family's 1533-position model. Lineage: Bacteria; Bacillati; Actinomycetota; Actinomycetes; Kitasatosporales; Streptomycetaceae. The record is from RNAcentral.
CAGUGGCGAACGGGUGAGUAACACGUGGGCAAUCUGCCCUGCACUCUGGGACAACACCGGGAAACCGGUGCUAAUACCGGAUACGACGUACCUCGGCAUCGAGUGUGCGUGGAAAGCUCCGGCGGUGCAGGAUGAGCCCGCGGCCUAUCAGCUUGUUGGUGGGGUGAUGGCCUACCAAGGCGACGACGGGUAGCCGGCCUGAGAGGGCGACCGGCCACACUGGGACUGAGACACGGCCCAGACUCCUACGGGAGGCAGCAGUGGGGAAUAUUGCACAAUGGGCGAAAGCCUGAUGCAGCGACGCCGCGUGAGGGAUGAAGGCCUUCGGGUUGUAAACCUCUUUCAGCAGGGAAGAAGCGCAAGUGACGGUACCUGCAGAAGAAGCACCGGCUAACUACGUGCCAGCAGCCGCGGUAAUACGUAGGGUGCGAGCGUUGUCCGGAAUUAUUGGGCGUAAAGAGCUCGUAGGCGGCCUGUCGCGUCGGAUGUGAAAGCCCGGGGCUUAACCCCGGGUCUGCAUUCGAUACGGGCAGGCUAGAGUUCGGUAGGGGAGAUCGGAAUUCCU